RNAcentral lists this ribosomal RNA (992 nucleotides) under uncultured bacterium. RNAcentral describes it as "bacterial SSU rRNA". It matches the Rfam family "Bacterial small subunit ribosomal RNA", at positions 74 to 1067 of the family's 1533-position model. The record is from RNAcentral.
CAGCUUGCUAGUUGCUGACGAGUGGCGGACGGGUGAGUAAUGCUUGGGAAUUUGCCUUUGGGAGGGGGAUAACCACUGGAAACGGUGGCUAAUACCGCAUAACGUCUACGGACCAAAGGGGGCUUUUAGCUCCCACCUAUAGAGAAGCCCAAGUGAGAUUAGCUAGUUGGUGAGGUAAAGGCUCACCAAGGCGACGAUCUCUAGCUGUUCUGAGAGGAAGAUCAGCCACACUGGAACUGAGACACGGUCCAGACUCCUACGGGAGGCAGCAGUGGGGAAUAUUGCACAAUGGGGGAAACCCUGAUGCAGCCAUGCCGCGUGUGUGAAGAAGGCCUUCGGGUUGUAAAGCACUUUCAGUUGUGAGGAAAGGUUAGUAGUUAAUACCUGCUAGCUGUGACGUUAGCAACAGAAGAAGCACCGGCUAACUCCGUGCCAGCAGCCGCGGUAAUACGGAGGGUGCAAGCGUUAAUCGGAAUUACUGGGCGUAAAGCGCACGCAGGCGGUUUGUUAAGCUAGAUGUGAAAGCCCCGGGCUCAACCUGGGAUGGUCAUUUAGAACUGGCAGACUAGAGUUUUGGAGAGGGGAGUGGAAUUCCAGGUGUAGCGGUGAAAUGCGUAGAUAUCUGGAGGAACAUCAGUGGCGAAGGCGACUCUCUGGCCAAAGACUGACGCUCAUGUGCGAAAGUGUGGGUAGCGAACAGGAUUAGAUACCCUGGUAGUCCACACCGUAAACGCUGUCUACUAGCUGUUUGUGAAUUUAAUUCGUGAGUAGCGAAGCUAACGCGCUAAGUAGACCGCCUGGGGAGUACGGCCGCAAGGUUAAAACUCAAAUGAAUUGACGGGGGCCCGCACAAGCGGUGGAGCAUGUGGUUUAAUUCGAUGCAACGCGAAGAACCUUACCUACACUUGACAUGCAGAGAACUUUCCAGAGAUGGAUUGGUGCCUUCGGGAACUCUGACACAGGUGCUGCAUGGCUGUCGUCAGCUCGUGUCG